This 73-nucleotide transfer RNA is filed under the name Vulcanimicrobiota bacterium. Its description in RNAcentral is "tRNA-Val". It matches the Rfam family "tRNA". From Rfam's summary of the family: Transfer RNA (tRNA) molecules are approximately 80 nucleotides in length. Their secondary structure includes four short double-helical elements and three loops (D, anti-codon, and T loops). Further hydrogen bonds mediate the characteristic L-shaped molecular structure. tRNAs have two regions of fundamental functional importance: the anti-codon, which is responsible for specific mRNA codon recognition, and the 3' end, to which the tRNAs corresponding amino acid is attached (by aminoacyl-tRNA synthetases). tRNAs cope with the degeneracy of the genetic code in two manners: having more than one tRNA (with a specific anti-codon) for a particular amino acid; and 'wobble' base-pairing, i.e. permitting non-standard base-pairing at the 3rd anti-codon position. The record is from RNAcentral. Lineage: Bacteria; Bacillati; Vulcanimicrobiota.
GGGCGAAUAGCUCAGUUGGUAGAGCACCGCCCUUACAAGGCGGCCGUCACAGGUUCGAGCCCUGUUUCGCCCA